ACACAAAAUCACUCAAGAUCAAUGUCGAUGUCAUCAUCUUCAAUCUUCUGACCAAAACCUCUUGGUCCAGCUCUGGCUCUCAUUGCCUUCUUCUUCCCACCUUUCUUAGACUUCUUUGCUGCCUCGUCUUUCUCAAACUUCUCUCUCUCCCUCUUCCCAAGAAACUCA
Non-coding RNA from Arabidopsis thaliana (thale cress), 168 nucleotides. RefSeq annotates it as other RNA. Lineage: Eukaryota; Viridiplantae; Streptophyta; Magnoliopsida; Brassicales; Brassicaceae. The transcript has a single exon. The record is from RefSeq.